This 83-nucleotide transfer RNA is filed under the name Galaxaura rugosa. RNAcentral's name for it is "tRNA-Leu". It matches the Rfam family "tRNA". Rfam says of the family: Transfer RNA (tRNA) molecules are approximately 80 nucleotides in length. Their secondary structure includes four short double-helical elements and three loops (D, anti-codon, and T loops). The record is from RNAcentral. Lineage: Eukaryota; Rhodophyta; Florideophyceae; Nemaliales; Galaxauraceae.
GCGGACAUGGUGGAAUUGGUAGACACGCUAGAUUUAGGAUCUAGUGAGAUUAUCUCGUGAGAGUUCGAGUCUCUCUGUCCGCA